Molecule: non-coding RNA, 580 nt
Organism: Heterocephalus glaber (naked mole-rat)
Lineage: Eukaryota; Metazoa; Chordata; Mammalia; Rodentia; Bathyergidae
Source: RefSeq, a predicted model, not a curated record
CCGGGCACAGGACCCCGCACUGUGAGGGUGCCGGCCCCCGUCCCACCAGCCAGCCCCAUCCCUGUCUGCCCAGCGCAGCCGCUGUGUGCAGAGGGGCAUCUGGCCCGCUCCCUGCCUGCUGGACAACCUGCCCUGCCUUUAGAGGGCUCUGCCAUGAUGCCGAGGCGGUGUAUCUGGGCCCUCACAUUCAUGUGGGGACAAAGGAGGACCCACACAGCAGCCCAGACUGGACAUACCCUGAAAGGUUCUACCGGAGAGGACUCGUCUGGAGUGCCCAACAAGGAUUCUGCAUCUGAAGCAGGGGACAGGAAAAGCUACCUGAGAGACCUUUACCAUCCUCUGAACAGGAUACAUCCACAGCCAACCUCACUAGACACCGAGGGGAGGGUGCCUACAGUGUACGUAACCUGGGAGACAGCUGCAUGGGCUUUUAGAUGGACUGAAUGACCUACGACAGGCUGGAGCCUUCUCAAGACAGCACGAGGUCUUGGUCUUUCCUUUCCACCCUAAGUCCCUGAGCCUGGAUGUUUCCCUUGCAGACUUGAGGUCUCCCCUGUGGGGUCUGGGGGGCCGGGGCCCA